This 134-nucleotide microRNA precursor is filed under the name Tursiops truncatus (common bottlenose dolphin). RNAcentral describes it as "miRNA (ENSTTRG00000022421.1)". The stretch from base 36 to 87 matches the Rfam family "mir-1302 microRNA precursor family". Lineage: Eukaryota; Metazoa; Chordata; Mammalia; Artiodactyla; Delphinidae. The record is from RNAcentral.
CAGGUGAAUUUGAAUUUCAGGCAAACAACAAAUAAUGUUUAGUAUAAUUAUAUCCCAUGCAAUAUUUGGGUCAUACUUAUACUAAAAAGUAUCCAUUGCUUAUCUGAAAUUCAAAUUUAACUGGAUGUCCUGUA